Molecule: non-coding RNA, 272 nt
Organism: Paramuricea clavata
Lineage: Eukaryota; Metazoa; Cnidaria; Anthozoa; Malacalcyonacea; Plexauridae
Source: the annotation of a GenBank genome assembly
CUGCACAAACCAAUAAGUAAACAUAUAAAUAAAUUAAAACAAACAUACUUGCGAUCAUCGCCAAACCUUUGAAACUCACAGCCAACGCUUUGUGCAGUCAGCAGGAUGCAUCCAUCGACUGCACAAACUUUUCCAGAAGUUCUUUGACAUGUACUGCCACUGUUGAUUCUUUCAAGAAGGGCAAAAGACAAUUUUAUAUACCCAUCGCUCGGCCGUGCACAGUGUUUUCACCUCGAACGUCAGAACGCUAAUGAGUGAAUUUUUUAUUUUAC